Vicugna pacos (alpaca) is the source of this 84-nucleotide small nucleolar RNA. Ensembl annotates it as small nucleolar RNA, C/D box 121B. The record is from Ensembl. NCBI's taxonomy places the organism in Eukaryota, Metazoa, Chordata, Mammalia, Artiodactyla, Camelidae.
CUGGGAAAGACAGUGAUGCUGUGGUUCCAAGCACAUAUCUGAAUUGUGUGUGUGUGGAUGGCACUGAAACUGAGUCUUUUCUGU